UCUAGUAUCAGGGUUGUAGGAUAGGGGCACCUAGAGUUUCUCGUCCGCUCCUCCCGGGGUUGGGGGUGGGGUAGCAGGGUUAUUCAUAGAUGAUAUGUAUUUACUGUACGAUACUAUUACUUGUUACUAUAUUUUCGUAUUUUGUUUCUUUUGUUCAGAUUAUUUCUAACGCUAUUUAUGCUGGAAUUUCUAUCGCACUAAUGAUAUACUGUUUCUGUUUUGUUUUGUUUCUAUUUGUUUUACUACUGUUUUUCACCUAACCCUAUGAGCCGAGGGUCGAUUGGAAACAGCCUCCCUGCCCUGUCGGGUAGGGGUAAGGCUCGUCUACAUUUACUACUGUUUUUCACCUAACCCUAUGAGCCGAGGGUCGAUUGGAAACAGCCUCACUGCCCUGUCGGGUAGGAGUAAGGCUCGUCUACAUAUUACCCUCCCCAGACCCCACCUGGUGGGAAUACACUGGGUAGUUGUUGUUGUUGUUGUUGUUG
RNAcentral lists this long non-coding RNA (485 nucleotides) under Nicotiana benthamiana. Its description in RNAcentral is "long non-coding RNA (NBEN_LNC011077)". Lineage: Eukaryota; Viridiplantae; Streptophyta; Magnoliopsida; Solanales; Solanaceae. The record is from RNAcentral.